Molecule: ribosomal RNA, 235 nt
Filed under: uncultured bacterium
Lineage: Bacteria
Description: partial 16S ribosomal RNA
Rfam family: Bacterial small subunit ribosomal RNA
Source: RNAcentral
UACGUAGGGUGCGAGCGUUGUCCGGAAUUAUUGGGCGUAAAGAGCUCGUAGGCGGCUUGUCACGUCGGAUGUGAAAGCCCGGGGCUUAACCCCGGGUCUGCAUUCGAUACGGGCUAGCUAGAGUGUGGUAGGGGAGAUCGGAAUUCCUGGUGUAGCGGUGAAAUGCGCAGAUAUCAGGAGGAACACCGGUGGCGAAGGCGGAUCUCUGGGCCAUUACUGACACUGAGUAGCGAAA